AAUGAACGCUGGCGGCGUGCCUAACACAUGCAAGUCGGAUGUGCCGCAAGGUGCAUGGCAGACGGGUGAGUAACGCGUGGGGAAUCUACCUUUUUGUGGGGAAUAACGCUCCGAAAGGAGUGGUAAUACCGCAUGAGACCAGUGGCUGGGAUGCUGCUGGUGAAACCUGGGGACCGCAAGGCCUGGGGCAAAAAGAGGAUCCUGCGUCUGAUUAGCUAGUUGGCGGGGUAAUGGCCCACCAAGGCGACGAUCAGUAGCCGGCCUGAGAGGGUGAUCGGCCACACUGGAACUGAGACACGGUCCAGACUCCUACGGGAGGCAGCAGUGGGGAAUUUUGCGCAAUGGACGAGAGUCUGACGCAGCAACGCCGCGUGGGUGAUGAAGGUCUUCGGACUGUAAAACCCUGUCGUCAGGGACGAAGGUGCACGUGUUAAUAGCAUGUGCGCUUGACGGUACCUGGAGAGGAAGCCCCGGCUAACUCUGUGCCAGCAGCCGCGGUAAUACAGAGGGGGCAAGCGUUAUUCGGAAUUAUUGGGCGUAAAGGGCGCGUAGGCGGUUUUUUAAGUCAGAUGUGUAAUCCCCGAGCUCAACUUGGGAACUGCAUCUGAGACUGGAAGGCUAGAGUACUGGAGAGGGUGGUGGAAUUCCUCGUGUAGCGGUGAAAUGCGUAGAGAUGAGGAGGAACACCAGUGGCGAAGGCGGCCACCUGGACAGUAACUGACGCUGAGGCGCGAAAGUGUGGGUAGCAAACUAGGAUUAGAUACCCUGGUAGUCCACGCUGUAAACGAUGAACACUUGGUGUGGAGGGAGUUGACCCUCUUCCGUGCCGGAGCUAACGCGUUAAGUGUUCCGCCUGGGGAGUACGGUCGCAAGGCUGA
This 878-nucleotide ribosomal RNA is filed under the name uncultured bacterium. Its description in RNAcentral is "bacterial SSU rRNA". It matches the Rfam family "Bacterial small subunit ribosomal RNA", at positions 28 to 897 of the family's 1533-position model. The record is from RNAcentral.